GUGGCAGACGGGUGAGUAAUACUUAGGUAACCUACCCUUAAGAUGGGGACAACCUUCCGAAAGGAGGGCUAAUACCGAAUAAGACCACAGUGGCUGCGGCCACGGGGGUUAAAGAUGGCCUCUAUUUAUAAGCUAUCACUUAAGGAUGGGCCUAAGCACCAUUAGCUAGUUGGUAGGGUAAUGGCCUACCAAGGCUUUGAUGGUUAGCUGAUCUGAGAGGUUGAUCAGCCACACUGGAACUGAGACACGGUCCAGACUCCUACGGGAGGCAGCAGUAGGGAAUAUUGCGCAAUGGGGGAAACCCUGACGCAGCGACGCCGCGUGGGUGAUGAAGGCUUUCGGGUCGUAAAACCCUGUCGAGUGGGACGAAAGACGAUAUGGCUAAUAUCCAUGUCGAGUGACGGUACCACUAAAGGAAGCACCGGCUAACUACGUGCCAGCAGCCGCGGUAAUACGUAGGGUGCAAGCGUUGCUCGGAAUCAUUGGGCGUAAAGAGCGUGUAGGUGGCUAGAUAAGUCAGGUGUGAAAUCCCUCGGCUCAACCGAGGAAGUGCAUUUGAAACUAUUUAGCUCGAGGAUGGCAGAGGAAGGUGGAAUUCCUAGUGUAGAGGUGAAAUUCGUAGAUAUUAGGAGGAAUACCGGUGGCGAAGGCGG
RNAcentral lists this ribosomal RNA (653 nucleotides) under uncultured delta proteobacterium. RNAcentral describes it as "bacterial SSU rRNA". It matches the Rfam family "Bacterial small subunit ribosomal RNA", at positions 95 to 724 of the family's 1533-position model. The record is from RNAcentral. Lineage: Bacteria; Deltaproteobacteria.